GGCUUAGAGUUUGAUCCUGGCUCAGAUUGAACGCUGGCGGCAGGCCUAACACAUGCAAGUCGAGCGGUAGAGAGAAGCUUGCUUCUCUUGAGAGCGGCGGACGGGUGAGUAAUGCCUAGGAAUCUGCCUGGUAGUGGGGGAUAACGUUCGGAAACGGACGCUAAUACCGCAUACGUCCUACGGGAGAAAGCAGGGGACCUUCGGGCCUUGCGCUAUCAGAUGAGCCUAGGUCGGAUUAGCUAGUUGGUGAGGUAAUGGCUCACCAAGGCGACGAUCCGUAACUGGUCUGAGAGGAUGAUCAGUCACACUGGAACUGAGACACGGUCCAGACUCCUACGGGAGGCAGCAGUGGGAAAUAUUGGACAAUGGGCGAAAGCCUGAUCCAGCCAUGCCGNUGUGUGUGAAGAAGGGUCUUCGGAUUGUAAAG
This 427-nucleotide ribosomal RNA is filed under the name uncultured bacterium. Its description in RNAcentral is "SSU rRNA". It matches the Rfam family "Bacterial small subunit ribosomal RNA", at positions 1 to 430 of the family's 1533-position model. The record is from RNAcentral.